GACGAACCGUGCGAACGUUGUUCGGAAUCACUGGGUUUAAAGGGCGCGUAGGCGGGCUGUCAAGUCGGUGGUGAAAUCUUUCGGCUCAACCGGAAAAUCGCCUUCGAUACUGGCGGCCUUGAGGGAGGUAGGGGCAUGCGGAACUUCCGGUGGAGCGGUGAAAUGCGUAGAUAUCGGAAGGAACACCGAUGGCGAAAGCAGCGUGCUGGACCUUUUCUGACGCUGAGGCGCGAAAGCCAGGGGAGCAAAUGGG
RNAcentral lists this ribosomal RNA (253 nucleotides) under uncultured bacterium. RNAcentral's name for it is "partial 16S ribosomal RNA". It matches the Rfam family "Bacterial small subunit ribosomal RNA", at positions 524 to 776 of the family's 1533-position model. The record is from RNAcentral.